GGAACUCUCUAACAGAAGAAAAAUUAUAUACAAUAUUUUCUAAUUUAUUUCAUCUUAAAAAUCUUCUCUAUGAUGCAUUAGUAACAUUGAACUAGGGUUCUAAGGAACAAACUGUGAAAAUUUCCAAUGUGCCUAGCAAAACAAGGAAAAGGAGCAAAGAAGUAAAUUAGAAAUAUGAAAAUUAAUUUAAUUUGGUGUCCCCAUAGGCUUUACCUAUUAUGAUGUGAUUUUAAGUUCUUUAUAAAUGACCAUAAUUUUCUAAAUGAAACUAAGUUAACCUACACUGAAAUGGCUUUAGGGAUAUUGAUCACUGUUUUAAAGAGAGUACCUGCCCCCUGCACAUGGACUGUGAUUUAAAAGUCUGUGUCUUGUCCCUAAGAAAACAAAAUCUAAUAUAAUAAUCAUAUAUAAAUCAUGAACAAAAAUGUUUCCAAAUUGCUGUCAACAAG
This 449-nucleotide long non-coding RNA is filed under the name Marmota monax (woodchuck). The record is from RNAcentral. Lineage: Eukaryota; Metazoa; Chordata; Mammalia; Rodentia; Sciuridae.